CCUACGCGAGGCUGCAGUGGGGAAUAUUGGACAAUGGGCGAAAGCCUGAUCCAGCAAUGCCGCGUGAGUGAUGAAGGCCCUAGGGUUGUAAAGCUCUUUUACCCGGGAUGAUAAUGACAGUACCGGGAGAAUAAGCUCCGGCUAACUCCGUGCCAGCAGCCGCGGUAAUACGGAGGGAGCUAGCGUUGUUCGGAAUUACUGGGCGUAAAGCGCGCGUAGGCGGUUUUUUAAGUCAGAGGUGAAAGCCCGGGGCUCAACCCCGGAAUUGCCUUUGAAACUGGAAAACUUGAAUCUUGGAGAGGUCAGUGGAAUUCCGAGUGUAGAGGUGAAAUUCGUAGAUAUUCGGAAGAACACCAGUGGCGAAGGCGACUGACUGGACAAGUAUUGACGCUGAGGUGCGAAAGCGUGGGGAGCAAACAGGAUUAGAUACCCCGGUAGUC
RNAcentral lists this ribosomal RNA (440 nucleotides) under uncultured bacterium. Its description in RNAcentral is "bacterial SSU rRNA". It matches the Rfam family "Bacterial small subunit ribosomal RNA", at positions 338 to 795 of the family's 1533-position model. The record is from RNAcentral.